Molecule: long non-coding RNA, 624 nt
Organism: Scylla paramamosain (green mud crab)
Lineage: Eukaryota; Metazoa; Arthropoda; Malacostraca; Decapoda; Portunidae
Exons: 3
Source: RefSeq, a predicted model, not a curated record
GGGAGGCUGGGCGGCACCGGAACCAAACACACGCGGCGUAUCAACGGGGAAGGAGUAGCGGCAGUCGAGUGUUGGUGGUUCAUAUGUGCGUUGUUGGUGUCGCGAUGGACGGAAGUGAUCGCGGCUAUUGUCGUCAUCCGGCAUCACCUGCCGUCCAGCUUGCUUCGCGGAGGAGACAAAGCACACGCCGCAGGGAGAGGCAAGGCUGAUCCGUAGUGACUGCCUCUCGCGGUGAUAGGAGCUGACCAUUGCAGCAGAAAGAGAAAGAAAGGACUGGUGCUCGCGGUGCUGCGCUGCGAGGGAAGGAUCAACAGGGAACACGCAAGCAGCUCAGGGAAGAACUGAAAAGUGUUUCCUGGGAGCCUUGCUUACCUUCACAUUACCUCAGGGAAACACACACGUCAUUCCAGCCGCCCUUCCUCUUCCUCUUAGGCCAGGCUGAAAAAAGGAAUUGUGUUAGGCUUCCCUCUUUUCCAUUUACUCAGAGAAGAAAUACAACGGCGGGUGUUUUGUAUUUCCCUCUGCUUAACAUCCGCACCAAUACCGCAUGUUUUUUUUUUUAUCUUUAAUCUUAUAAAUAUUUUAAGAGAAACGAGCAAGAAAGAGAGACAAGAGACAAAAAAA